GACGAACGCUGGCGGCGUGCCUAAUACAUGCAAGUAGAACGCUGAAGAGAAGAGCUUGCUCUUCUUGGAUGAGUUGCGAACGGGUGAGUAACGCGUAGGUAACCUGCCUGGUAGCGGGGGAUAACUAUUGGAAACGAUAGCUAAUACCGCAUGAUAUUAAUUGUCGCAUGAUAAUUAAUUGAAAGAUGCAAUUGCAUCACUACCAGAUGGACCUGCGUUGUAUUAGCUAGUUGGUGAGGUAACGGCUCACCAAGGCGACGAUACAUAGCCGACCUGAGAGGGUGAUCGGCCACACUGGGACUGAGACACGGCCCAGACUCCUACGGGAGGCAGCAGUAGGGAAUCUUCGGCAAUGGGGGGAACCCUGACCGAGCAACGCCGCGUGAGUGAAGAAGGUUUUCGGAUCGUAAAGCUCUGUUGUAAGAGAAGAACGGGUGUGAGAGUGGAAAGUUCACACUG
Molecule: ribosomal RNA, 459 nt
Filed under: Streptococcus sanguinis
Lineage: Bacteria; Bacillati; Bacillota; Bacilli; Lactobacillales; Streptococcaceae
Description: bacterial SSU rRNA
Rfam family: Bacterial small subunit ribosomal RNA
Source: RNAcentral